AUUGAACGCUGGCGGCAGGCCUAACACAUGCAAGUCGAACGGUAGCACAGAGAGCUUGCUCUCGGGUGACGAGUGGCGGACGGGUGAGUAAUGUCUGGGAAACUGCCCGAUGGAGGGGGAUAACUACUGGAAACGGUAGCUAAUACCGCAUAACGUCGCAAGACCAAAGUGGGGGACCUUCGGGCCUCACACCAUCGGAUGUGCCCAGAUGGGAUUAGCUAGUAGGUGGGGUAAUGGCUCACCUAGGCGACGAGCCCUAGCUGGUCUGAGAGGAUGACCAGCCACACUAGAACUGAGACACGGUCCAGACUCCUACGGGAGGCAGCAGUGGGGAAUAUUGCACACAGGGCGAAAGCCUGAUGCAGCCAUGCAGCGUGUAUGAAGAAGGCCUUCGGGUCGUAAAGUACUUUCAGCGGGGAGGAAGGCGGUGAAGUUAAUAGCUUCACCGAUUGACGUUACCCGCAGAAGAAGCACCGGCUAACUCCGUGCCAGCAGCCGCAGUAA
This 504-nucleotide ribosomal RNA is filed under the name uncultured bacterium. RNAcentral describes it as "partial 16S ribosomal RNA". It matches the Rfam family "Bacterial small subunit ribosomal RNA", at positions 29 to 523 of the family's 1533-position model. The record is from RNAcentral.